UCGAACGAUGAAGCCCAGCUUGCUGGGUGGAUUAGUGGCGAACGGGUGAGUAACACGUGAGUAACCUGCCCUUAACUCUGGGAUAAGCCUGGGAAACUGGGUCUAAUACCGGAUAGGAGCGCCUACCGCAUGGUGGGUGUUGGAAAGAUUUAUCGGUUUUGGAUGGACUCGCGGCCUAUCAGCUUGUUGGUGAGGUAAUGGCUCACCAAGGCGACGACGGGUAGCCGGCCUGAGAGGGUGACCGGCCACACUGGGACUGAGACACGGCCCAGACUCCUACGGGAGGCAGCAGUGGGGAAUAUUGCACAAUGGGCGAAAGCCUGAUGCAGCGACGCCGCGUGAGGGAUGACGGCCUUCGGGUUGUAAACCUCUUUCAGUAGGGAAGAAGCGAAAGUGACGGUACCUGCAGAAGAAGCACCGGCUAACUACGUGCCAGCAGCCGCGGUAAUA
RNAcentral lists this ribosomal RNA (450 nucleotides) under Micrococcus sp. BSF2(15). Its description in RNAcentral is "bacterial SSU rRNA". It matches the Rfam family "Bacterial small subunit ribosomal RNA", at positions 62 to 525 of the family's 1533-position model. Lineage: Bacteria; Bacillati; Actinomycetota; Actinomycetes; Micrococcales; Micrococcaceae. The record is from RNAcentral.